This 495-nucleotide ribosomal RNA is filed under the name uncultured bacterium. RNAcentral describes it as "partial 16S ribosomal RNA". It matches the Rfam family "Bacterial small subunit ribosomal RNA", at positions 28 to 507 of the family's 1533-position model. The record is from RNAcentral.
GACGAACGCUGGCGGCGUGCCUAAUACAUGCAAGUAGAACGCUGAAGGAGGAGCUUGCUUCUCUGGAUGAGUUGCGAACGGGUGAGUAACGCGUAGGUAACCUGCCUGGUAGCGGGGGAUAACUAUUGGAAACGAUAGCUAAUACCGCAUAAUAUUAGAUGUUGCAUGACAUUUGCUUAAAAGGUGCAAUUGCAUCACUACCAGAUGGACCUGCGUUGUAUUAGCUAGUUGGUGAGGUAACGGCUCACCAAGGCAACGAUACAUAGCCGACCUGAGAGGGUGAUCGGCCACACUGGGACUGAGACACGGCCCAGAAUCCUACGGGAGGCAGCAGUAGGGAAUCUUCGGCAAUGGACGGAAGUCUGACCGAGCAACGCCGCGUGAGUGAAGAAGGUUUUCGGAUCGUAAAGCUCUGUUGUAAGAGAAGAACGAGUGUGAGAGUGGAAAGUUCACACUGUGACGGUAUCUUACCAGAAAGGGACGGCUAACUACGUG